GGGCUAUACAUGCAGUCGAGCGGACAGAAGGGAGCUUGCUCCCGGAUGUUAGCGGCGGACGGGUGAGUAACACGUGGGUAACCUGCCUGUAAGACUGGGAUAACUCCGGGAAACCGGAGCUAAUACCGGAUAGUUCCUUGAACCGCAUGGUUCAAGGAUGAAAGACGGUUUCGGCUGUCACUUGCAGAUGGACCCGCGGCGCAUUAGCUAGUUGGUGGGGUAAUGGCUCACCAAGGCGACGAUGCGUAGCCGACCUGAGAGGGUGAUCGGCCACACUGGGACUGAGACACGGCCCAGACUCCUACGGGAGGCAGCAGUAGGGAAUCUUCCGCAAUGGACGAAAGUCUGACGGAGCAACGCCGCGUGAGUGAUGAAGGUUUUCGGAUCGUAAAGCUCUGUUGUUAGGGAAGAACAAGUGCGAGAGUAACUGCUCGCACCUUGACGGUACCUAACCAGAAAGCCACGGCUAACUACGUGCCAGCAGCCGCGGUAAUACGUAGGUGGCAAGCGUUGUCCGGAAUUAUUGGGCGUAAAGGGCUCGCAGGCGGUUUCUUAAGUCUGAUGUGAAAGCCCCCGGCUCAACCGGGGAGGGUCAUUGGAAACUGGGAAACUUGAGUGCAGAAGAGGAGAGUGGAAUUCCACGUGUAGCGGUGAAAUGCGUAGAGAUGUGGAGGAACACCAGUGGCGAAGGCGACUCUCUGGUCUGUAACUGACGCUGAGGAGCGAAAGCGUGGGGAGCGAACAGGAUUAGAUACCCUGGUAGUCCACGCCGUACACGAUGAGUGCUAAGUGUUAGGGGGUUUCCGCCCCUUAGUGCUGCAGCUAACGCAUUAAGCACUCCGCCUGGGGAGUACGGUCGCAAGACUGAAACUCAAAGGAAUUGACGGGGGCCCGCACAAGCGGUGGAGCAUGUGGUUUAAUUCGAAGCAACGCGAAGAACCUUACCAGGUCUUGACAUCCUCUGACAACCCUAGAGAUAGGGCUUUCCCUUCGGGGACAGAGUGACAGGUGGUGCAUGGUUGUCGUCAGCUCGUGUCGUGAGAUGUUGGGUUAAGUCCCGCAACGAGCGCAACCCUUGAUCUUAUUUGCCAGCAUUUAGUUGGCACUCUAAGGUGACUGCCGGUGACAACCGGAAGAAGGUGGGGAUGACGUCAAUCAUCAUGCCCCUUAUGACCUGGGCUACCCACUGCUACAUGGACAAAAAAAGGCUGCAAGACCCAAGGUUAGCAAUCCC
RNAcentral lists this ribosomal RNA (1234 nucleotides) under Bacillus safensis. RNAcentral's name for it is "bacterial SSU rRNA". It matches the Rfam family "Bacterial small subunit ribosomal RNA", at positions 44 to 1274 of the family's 1533-position model. The record is from RNAcentral. Lineage: Bacteria; Bacillati; Bacillota; Bacilli; Caryophanales; Bacillaceae.